AUGAACGCUGGCGGCGUGCCUAAUACUUGCAAGUCGAGCGAACAGACGAGGAGCUUGCUCCUCUGACGUUAGCGGCGGACGGGUGAGUAACACGUGGAUAACCUACCUAUAAGACUGGGAUAACUUCGGGAAACCGGAGCUAAUACCGGAUAAUAUAUUGAACCGCAUGGUUCAAUAGUGAAAGACGGUUUUGCUGUCACUUAUAGAUGGAUCCGCGCCGCAUUAGCUAGUUGGUAAGGUAACGGCUUACCAAGGCAACGAUGCGUAGCCGACCUGAGAGGGUGAUCGGCCACACUGGAACUGAGACACGGUCCAGACUCCUACGGGAGGCAGCAGUAGGGAAUCUUCCGCAAUGGGCGAAAGCCUGACGGAGCAACGCCGCGUGAGUGAUGAAGGUCUUCGGAUCGUAAAACUCUGUUAUUAGGGAAGAACAAAUGUGUAAGUAACUAUGCACGUCUUGACGGUACCUAAUCAGAAAACCACGGCUAACUACGUG
Molecule: ribosomal RNA, 496 nt
Filed under: uncultured bacterium
Lineage: Bacteria
Description: partial 16S ribosomal RNA
Rfam family: Bacterial small subunit ribosomal RNA
Source: RNAcentral